GCCAGACCUGAUGGCACACACCUGUAGUCCCAGCUACACAGGAGGCUAAGGCAGGUAUUCUGGGUUGCAGUGGGCUAUAUCAAUCGAGUGUCUAUACUAAAUUCAGCAUCCGUAUGGUAAUCUCCCAGGAGUAGGGAACUACCUAGCUGCCUAAGGAGGAGUAUAUCGGCCCAGGAUGGAAAUGGAGCAGGUCAAACUCUAGUACCAAGCAGUGGUGGGAUCACACUUGUGAAUAGCCACUGUACUCCAGCCUGGGUAACAU
RNAcentral lists this signal recognition particle RNA (262 nucleotides) under Carlito syrichta (Philippine tarsier). RNAcentral describes it as "Metazoan signal recognition particle RNA (ENSTSYG00000029825.1)". It matches the Rfam family "Metazoan signal recognition particle RNA". Rfam says of the family: The signal recognition particle (SRP) is a universally conserved ribonucleoprotein. It is involved in the co-translational targeting of proteins to membranes. Lineage: Eukaryota; Metazoa; Chordata; Mammalia; Primates; Tarsiidae. The record is from Rfam by way of RNAcentral.